ACUCCUACGGGAGGCAGCAGUGGGGAAUAUUGGACAAUGGGCGAAAGCCUGAUCCAGCCAUGCCGCGUGUGUGAAGAAGGUCUUCGGAUUGUAAAGCACUUUAAGUUGGGAGGAAGGGCAGUAAGUUAAUACCUUGCUGUUUGACGUUACCAACAGAAUAAGCACCGGCUAACUUCGUGCCAGCAGCCGCGGUAAUACGAAGGGUGCAAGCGUUAAUCGGAAUUACUGGGCGUAAAGCGCGCGUAGGUGGUUCAGCAAGUUGGAUGUGAAAUCCCCCGGGCUCAACCUGGGAACUGCAUCCAAAACUACUGAGCUAGAGUACGGUAGAGGUGGUGGAAUUUCCUGUGUAGCGGUGAAAUGCGUAGAUAUAGGAAGGAACACCAGUGGCGAAGGCGACACCUGGACUGAUACUGACACCGAGGUGCGAAAGCGUGGGAGCAAACAGGAUUAGAUACCCUGGUAGGAUAGCG
RNAcentral lists this ribosomal RNA (470 nucleotides) under uncultured bacterium. RNAcentral's name for it is "bacterial SSU rRNA". It matches the Rfam family "Bacterial small subunit ribosomal RNA", at positions 335 to 799 of the family's 1533-position model. The record is from RNAcentral.